GGCUAUUUUUCCAAGGAAGCGUUUGAAGAACUAAUGGACUGGGAGAAGGUCCGUUAUAAGAACAUAAAACGGAAUUAUGAAGCCAUGGUUGCCAUUGGAUUAGACGUACCAAAGCCCGAAUUUAUGACCAAUCGGAGCAGAAGGCGUCCAAUCCAAGUAUACGAAUCUAGCGAGUCAGAUGAGGAUUGGACACCUAAACUUCUGACAAAAAAUCCACAACGAUUCAAAAUCUUUAGGCCUUUUAAGAAUGAAAAUGGCAAGAAUUCCAAAAGAAAGCCUGUCA
Amblyraja radiata (thorny skate) is the source of this 283-nucleotide long non-coding RNA. RefSeq lists it as uncharacterized. Lineage: Eukaryota; Metazoa; Chordata; Chondrichthyes; Rajiformes; Rajidae. The record is from RefSeq and is a predicted model, not a curated record. The transcript is spliced from 3 exons.